ACCCCGGAGUCAUAUUUCAUCCUCUUUGGGUUCAUAGUGAUGACAACUGGUAUUAUUGUUUACUAUUGGUACAAAGAGCAAGAGCAAUC
This 89-nucleotide small RNA is filed under the name Detonula confervacea. RNAcentral describes it as "partial transfer-messenger RNA". The record is from RNAcentral. Lineage: Eukaryota; Bacillariophyta; Thalassiosirophyceae; Thalassiosirales; Thalassiosiraceae.